This 473-nucleotide long non-coding RNA is filed under the name Ictidomys tridecemlineatus (thirteen-lined ground squirrel). RNAcentral's name for it is "lncRNA (ENSSTOG00000034862.1)". The record is from RNAcentral. Lineage: Eukaryota; Metazoa; Chordata; Mammalia; Rodentia; Sciuridae.
UUUAAGAAGGUGCAAAGGGUUUAGAUGUACCUCGCUCUGAGCCUGAGCUUCAGUAUAAAGGCCACUCUUGGCCUCAUUCCUUGCCCUCGCUGCCCUCCCCCCAAAACCUGUAGUGGCUCCCCACUGCCAGCAGAGUAAAGUCUGACCCCUCAUUGGUCUGGCAUUCAGAGCUCUUCACCACCUGGCCUCGGAUGCCCUUCUAGAAUCAUCUCUCGCUGUUCUCUUUUGCAGGCACAAAUCCCAGAAGGAGCCAUGCACAGGCCUGGGAAACAGCCUAAGCCAAGAUCAGGUUGUCGUGGCUCAGCCUUCGGGAUCCGGGAGCGAAAGGCACGUUCCAGGCCUGAGGAGCUCGUCGGCGUGGAGACGGGGAGACAGAUGAGCAGUCCCUCAGGUGCCAGCAGGGGGACACCUGCCCAGACAGAUCCCUGCCCCAGAUGAGGUGCUGUGUGCAGAGUACUUACACCCGGAUGUGG